RNAcentral lists this ribosomal RNA (374 nucleotides) under uncultured organism. RNAcentral's name for it is "partial 16S ribosomal RNA". It matches the Rfam family "Bacterial small subunit ribosomal RNA", at positions 527 to 896 of the family's 1533-position model. The record is from RNAcentral.
GUAGGAGGCAAGCGUUAUCCGGAUUCACUGGGCGUAAAGCGCGCGCAGGCGGCUCCGUAAGUCGGACGUGAAAGCCCCCGGCUCAACUGGGGGAGGUCGUUCGAUACUGCAGGGCUUGAGGUCGGGAGAGGGAAGCGGAAUUCCCGGUGUAGUGGUGAAAUGCGUAGAUAUCGGGAGGAACACCAGUGGCGAAGGCGGCUUCCUGGCCCGCACCUGACGCUAAGGCGCGAAAGCGUGGGUAGCGAACGGGAUUAGAUACCCCGGGUAGUCCACGCCCUAAACGAUGGCAACUAGGUGUUGGGGGCUAUUAACCCCCCUCAGUGCCGAAGUUAACGCGAUAAGUUGCCCGCCUGAGGACUACGAGCGCAAGCUUA